GACGAACGCUGGCGGCGUGCUUAACACAUGCAAGUCGAACGGAAAGGCCCUGCUUUUGUGGGGUGCUCGAGUGGCGAACGGGUGAGUAACACGUGAGUAACCUGCCCUUGACUUUGGGAUAACUUCAGGAAACUGGGGCUAAUACCGGAUAGGAGCUCCUGCUGCAUGGUGGGGGUUGGAAAGUUUCGGCGGUUGGGGAUGGACUCGCGGCUUAUCAGCUUGUUGGUGGGGUAGUGGCUUACCAAGGCUUUGACGGGUAGCCGGCCUGAGAGGGUGACCGGCCACAUUGGGACUGAGAUACGGCCCAGACUCCUACGGGAGGCAGCAGGGGGGAAUAUUGCACAAUGGGCGGAAGCCUGAUGCAGCACCGCCGCGUGCGGGAUGACGGCCUUCGGGUUGUAAACCGCUUUCGCCUGUGACGAAGCGUGAGUGACGGUAAUGGGUAAAGAAGCACCGGCUAACUAC
Molecule: ribosomal RNA, 465 nt
Filed under: uncultured bacterium
Lineage: Bacteria
Description: partial 16S ribosomal RNA
Rfam family: Bacterial small subunit ribosomal RNA
Source: RNAcentral